UCCGCAGGCGGGCAAUUAAGUCAGAGGUGAAAUCCCACAGCUCAACUGUGGAACUGCCUUUGAUACUGGUUGUCUUGAGUUAUAGUGAAGUAGAUAGAAUAUGUAGUGUAGCGGUGAAAUGCAUAGAUAUUACAUAGAAUACCGAUUGCGAAGGCAGUCUACUAACUAUAUACUGACGCUGAUAGACGAAAGCGUGGGGAGCGAACAGGAUUAGAUACCCUGGUAGUCC
RNAcentral lists this ribosomal RNA (229 nucleotides) under uncultured bacterium. RNAcentral's name for it is "partial 16S ribosomal RNA". It matches the Rfam family "Bacterial small subunit ribosomal RNA", at positions 568 to 796 of the family's 1533-position model. The record is from RNAcentral.